RNAcentral lists this ribosomal RNA (764 nucleotides) under uncultured bacterium. RNAcentral describes it as "bacterial SSU rRNA". It matches the Rfam family "Bacterial small subunit ribosomal RNA", at positions 626 to 1391 of the family's 1533-position model. The record is from RNAcentral.
UUNUGAACUGGGUGACUAGAGUGUNUCAGAGGGAGGUAGAAUUCCACGUGUAGCAGUGAAAUGCGUAGAGAUGUGGAGGAAUACCGAUGGCGAAGGCANCCUCCUGGGAUAACACUGACGUUCAUGCCCGAAAGCGUGGGUAGCAAACAGGAUUAGAUACCCUGGUAGUNCACGCCCUAAACGAUGUCGAUUAGCUGUUGGGCAGCAUGACUGCUUAGUAGCGAAGCUAACGCGUGAAAUCGACCGCCUGGGGAGUACGGUCGCAAGAUUAAAACUCAAAGGAAUUGACGGGGACUCGCACAAGCGGUGGAUGAUGUGGAUUAAUUCGAUGCAACGCGAAGAACCUUACCUGGUCUUGACAUGUACGGAACCCUCCAGAGACGGAGGGGUGCCUUCGGGAGCCGUAACACAGGUGCUGCAUGGCUGUCGUCAGCUCGUGUCGUGAGAUGUUGGGUUAAGUCCCGCAACGAGCGCAACCCUUGUCAUUAGUUGCCAUCAUUAAGUUGGGCACUCUAAUGAGACUGCCGGUGACAAGCCGGAGGAAGGUGGGGAUGAUGUCAAGUCCUCAUGGCCCUUAUGACCAGGGCUUCACACGUCAUACAAUGGUCGGUACAGAGGGUAGCCAAGCCGCGAGGUGGAGCCAAUCUCACAAAACCGAUCGUAGUCCGGAUUGCACUCUGCAACUCGAGUGCAUGAAGUCGGAAUCGCUAGUAAUCGCAGGUCAGCAUACUGCGGUGAAUACGUUCCCGGGUCUUGUACACACC